This is a long non-coding RNA of Gallus gallus (chicken), 3560 nucleotides long. RefSeq lists it as uncharacterized. The record is from RefSeq and is a predicted model, not a curated record. The transcript has 3 exons. NCBI's taxonomy places the organism in Eukaryota, Metazoa, Chordata, Aves, Galliformes, Phasianidae.
GUCAUUCUAGAGAGGUUCCAAUCAGAGCUGGGAAUUGUAAAAAAUGAAAAUGUCAAUGUAAAGCAGCGUGAAUGACUUACUGAAGCAGAGAAUUUGCUACGGAAGAAAAUGUGUGGCUGAGCAAAUGCUACCUCAGACUACUGCACAAUGCCAACAGCUGUUGAGCUCUGGGUCACAGAGUUUUCUUUACUGUUUUUAUGAACUCUUUGAUGGAGAUGGCAUGAUAUCCAUAGUUCUGAAAAUAACAUUGAGGAUGAAGUAUGUCCAAAUGCACCAGAAAGGAAGUGAUUGCAUCAAACAUACAAACACGUGUGAAAUGCCAGUUGUCCAGCAAGAUGGCAAAUGUGAUUGUGCAAAGUGUGUGUACAAGCCUGAACACAAAUGAACAAGCAUGAACAUACCACAUGAGAACUUGUAAAUAUUAUGAUUACUACAAAAGUAAUUUUAUAAAAAAUAAAUAAUACUUAUUUAUAAAAGUCCCCGCGUUUUGCUUAUAUGCAUUACAAUAAAAAUUGCCAUUUUCUUAAAGUAUUUGGGCAUAAUAAAGAAAGUUUUUUUUUGUGAGAAAAUCUGACAUUUGAGAACUUGAUGUUAUCUUAAAUAUUAUAUUUAAUUAGAGGUAAAGCUUUUAUGCAAAGACAUCCACGUGUAUAACAGACCUUAAAAACUUUGGAAUGUCUUUAUACUAUUACUUAAAAUAUUAGUAUUGAACUGAUGUAGUGAUUUUGAGAAGCACAUUUUAGAUUUUUUUUAUUUUUAUAGUAGAAUUGGAAGAUAGCUACAGAAACAGUCAAACGUGAAUUAAAUUUAAAAGUUGACUGUUAAACCACAAAACAUCUGAAUAAUAUUCCUUUCAGGCAGAAUUAAGAUGACCUUAGCAUGCUUUAAAUUCUUCGUAUGAGUUAAUCUCAAAUGAGGCCACUUAAAAUAUGAAAAAGAUAUGUCUACAGAGGAAAGCACUACACAGAUUAACUGAUACUCUGCAAUAAUACUUUCAGUUCGUUGUGAUUCUUAAAAAUUAAUUAAAAUUGAGACAAACCUAUUUUGAAUGUGUUGUGCUUGUGAAAUACUGUUAUUCAGUGGCUUUAGUUUUUUAAAUUUAUGAAAGGCAAAACAGUGUAUUUGCAUAGUAAAUUGAAGGCCAUAAAGAUUCUUAAUUCAGGCUGUCCAUGUAUUAUUUUAAAGUGAAUUAGCUAACAAUUCAGCCCUAUUAUGCUUUUAUGAAGAAGUAAAGAGGUCUGAAUUACCUGGGCUACAUGAUUAAAACUUAACAAACAAAACAAACAAACAAAAAAGCAACCUAAUAAUGUGUUUUUUUUUUUUUUUUUUUUAAACAUAGAAAUUUGCUUAGGCUGUGUGUAUUUAUAGAUUGUCAGGUAAUGUACCAUGCAUCUGGCAUGGUCACAUCCACUUGAUGCUGUACUAGUACAUCUCAAAAAAAAGAAGUUGAACUUUUUGAUUAGGAAGUAUGAAUUGCCUGAAAAUAUUGCAACAGAUGUGUUAGUCUGAGCCAAGAGCCUGAGUUUUUUCUUUUCUAUUUGAAUUCAGUCAUCGAAAAAAUAUGCCAUUUGGCAUCUCUAUAUGCUGUUAGAAAUGGACCACCGAAAACUGCUUGGAAAUCAUCAGAAUGAAACUGACUUCAUUAAUUAUUUCAUAAAACCUGGUGUAAAGGAGGCAGUAAGAGCUCCCUGUGGCAUGAACCUGAUGUAAAUAAAACCAGCAAAGGCUUCUGGAGCCUUAUGCGUGUCAACUGACUCAAUAACACUACUCACAUCUUCAGUUGUCAAAGCGGUGACAGCUCCCAGUAGAACUCUUGGCUGUAACAAGGUCUUGGCUAAAGUUUGAUUUUCUGAAUUGAGAGUCUAUCUGUGCAUCUUGCUGCUCCUAUAUUAGGAACCUUUUGAUUUCUUCUCAUAAUGCAUUUUCCCUUUUACAGCCAUUAGUUCAUAAGCCAAAAAAAAAGUCCUCUGGCUCAUUGCCUCCUUCCUGUUUUGUUUUUGAUCUGCUUCAUGUUCAUCAUUUGUGCUGCUGUUCGGAGUUGUGCUGCUCCUUCUUAUAUCUCUACCAAUCAUACAGAGGAGCACAGAGCAAUAGUAUCUAGCUAGUGCAGAGCAGGAGGCUGAGGCACAUGUCAGCCCUGGCAGAAUGCCACAGAUACUAACAGAACUGCAUCUUCAUGCUGAUAUUGCUAUGUGGCUUCUGGUUUAGAGUUUCAUGUUUGGACUUUUCCACACUGCAUUCAUCAGACUUAUCAUCUUAUCCUCUGAUAAAAUUACCCUGAGUUUUUUUUUAAAUAAUUGACAACCUUAUCAUAGUUUACUUUUCUAGAAGAGGGAUAUAACAGUAUACUAUACUAGCCACAGUUCAGUUUAGCAGAGAAUGUUUGUUUAUACCUUGCUUCCUAUGUAAGUUAUGCCCUCAGUGAAGACACAUAUUCUAGGAAGAACACAGAAUUUAUGUAACAAGAUGAUUAUCUUUUCAGAUACACUGUGGAGCUUCUAAAUCAUGGAUAAGUCUUUUAUCUUUUCAUGAAUUUGGAUCACUGAUUUAUGAAGGUGACAAACACUGGAGUUAAGUAAUAAAAUCCUGUGGAACUCUUAAUAGUAUGUGGGAAGGAAAUUAGAUACCUUCAUGCUUCAUUCUUUGAAUGGAGAGAAACAUCUUUUUUCCUCUUUUGUUCCCCACUCUCUAAAAUUUCUCCUUUCAUUCAUUUUGAAGAUAACUGUGUUACUGUUUUCUUCAAAAUACUAUAAUUCCUUACAUUUGUUGGACCUACAAGGCAAUGUUAAACACAGCAAUUUAUAAGUGAAGGGGAUUAUUACAGUUUCCCGGAUAAACCAGGUUAAUUAAUUCCCCGAGGAGACAAAUGAUACUAUGCUUUCAGUAUAAUCAUGUUACUUUCCUGACUGUGUAUUGAAGGUACUAGCAAUUGGACAAUUACAGCAACAGAUCCUCCUAGAAAUCUGCAUGAUUUUUUAAAGUAUUAAAUGUGUUAACCAUCUGCUUAAUUUCAUGCUGGCAUUUCCUGUUCAGAAAGCAACAAAAUUGGUUUAUCUGGACCAAUUAGAUCUUAUUUGCAUCAGUACUGACUCCUGUUCAAAGGAUUCUGUUGACAUUCUUUAGUGAGGAAGGAAUUACUUACAUAUUUUUCUUGAAACUUUGAAUCAAUCCAUUUGUUUUUAUGGGCUAUAUGAUUUUUUUUUUCUGAUGGAGUAAUUGAAGUCAUAGUAGAAACUCAUUAGUUCAAACUGACAGGUCCAAGAAAAUACAUCCUCAUUGUUUUUACUUUAGUUACAGUGUCAUCCUAGAGAGUUAAUUAAGAUUUAGCAUUAUUAUACCAAGGUUCUCUGACAUUAAAAUCUUUAUGUGACUGUGACAAUCAGUCAAAUUCAAUUUCUCUUCAACAAAGUCAACAUCAUGCCAAGGUUAGGGAAUGCAUCUAUUGUGGAUUUUUCAGAUGGACUAGAUUUUUGUGUACCUUGUGUACUAAUGAAGAAAUGAAUUUAAAAUAGUCCUUAAUAUUCUAAGUAUUUUAUGUCUUUGAGAAACACACACUAUUU